This 728-nucleotide ribosomal RNA is filed under the name Bacillus siamensis. RNAcentral describes it as "bacterial SSU rRNA". It matches the Rfam family "Bacterial small subunit ribosomal RNA", at positions 24 to 734 of the family's 1533-position model. The record is from RNAcentral. Lineage: Bacteria; Bacillati; Bacillota; Bacilli; Caryophanales; Bacillaceae.
UCAGGACGAACGCUGGCGGCGUGCCUAAUACAUGCAAGUCGAGCGGACAGAUGGGAGCUUGCUCCCUGAUGUUAGCGGCGGACGGGUGAGUAACACGUGGGUAACCUGCCUGUAAGACUGGGAUAACUCCGGGAAACCGGGGCUAAUACCGGAUGGUUGUUUGAACCGCAUGGUUCAGACAUAAAAGGUGGCUUCGGCUACCACUUACAGAUGGACCCGCGGCGCAUUAGCUAGUUGGUGAGGUAACGGCUCACCAAGGCGACGAUGCGUAGCCGACCUGAGAGGGUGAUCGGCCACACUGGGACUGAGACACGGCCCAGACUCCUACGGGAGGCAGCAGUAGGGAAUCUUCCGCAAUGGACGAAAGUCUGACGGAGCAACGCCGCGUGAGUGAUGAAGGUUUUCGGAUCGUAAAGCUCUGUUGUUAGGGAAGAACAAGUGCCGUUCAAAUAGGGCGGCACCUUGACGGUACCUAACCAGAAAGCCACGGCUAACUACGUGCCAGCAGCCGCGGUAAUACGUAGGUGGCAAGCGUUGUCCGGAAUUAUUGGGCGUAAAGGGCUCGCAGGCGGUUUCUUAAGUCUGAUGUGAAAGCCCCCGGCUCAACCGGGGAGGGUCAUUGGAAACUGGGGAACUUGAGUGCAGAAGAGGAGAGUGGAAUUCCACGUGUAGCGGUGAAAUGCGUAGAGAUGUGGAGGAACACCAGUGGCGAAGGCGACUCUCUGGUC